RNAcentral lists this ribosomal RNA (254 nucleotides) under uncultured bacterium. Its description in RNAcentral is "partial 16S ribosomal RNA". It matches the Rfam family "Bacterial small subunit ribosomal RNA", at positions 524 to 776 of the family's 1533-position model. The record is from RNAcentral.
UACGGAGGGUGCAAGCGUUAUCCGGAUUCACUGGGUUUAAAGGGUGCGUAGGCGGGUUGGUAAGUCCGUGGUGAAAUCCCCAAGCUUAACUUGGGAACUGCCGUGGAUACUAUCAAUCUUGAAUACCGUGGAGGUGAGCGGAAUAUGUCAUGUAGCGGUGAAAUGCUUAGAUAUGACAUAGAACACCAAUUGCGAAGGCAGCUCGCUACACGAAUAUUGACUCUGAGGCACGAAAGCGUGGGGGAUCAAACAGG